GAUGAACGCUGGCGGCGUGCCUAAUACAUGCAAGUCGAGCGAACGGACGAGAAGCUUGCUUCUCUGAUGUUAGCGGCGGACGGGUGAGUAACACGUGGAUAACCUACCUAUAAGACUGGGAUAACUUCGGGAAACCGGAGCUAAUACCGGAUAAUAUUUUGAACCGCAUGGUUCAAAAGUGAAAGACGGUCUUGCUGUCACUUAUAGAUGGAUCCGCGCUGCAUUAGCUAGUUGGUAAGGUAACGGCUUACCAAGGCAACGAUGCAUAGCCGACCUGAGAGGGUGAUCGGCCACACUGGAACUGAGACACGGUCCAGACUCCUACGGGAGGCAGCAGUAGGGAAUAUUCCGAAAUGGGCGAAAGCCUGACGGAGCAACGCCGCGUGAGUGAUGAAGGUCUUCGGAUCGUAAAACUCUGUUAUUAGGGAAGAACAUAUGUGUAAGUAACUGUGCACAUCUUGACGGUACCUAAUCAGAAAGCCACGGCUAACUACGUG
RNAcentral lists this ribosomal RNA (497 nucleotides) under uncultured bacterium. RNAcentral's name for it is "partial 16S ribosomal RNA". It matches the Rfam family "Bacterial small subunit ribosomal RNA", at positions 28 to 507 of the family's 1533-position model. The record is from RNAcentral.